Molecule: ribosomal RNA, 233 nt
Filed under: Citrobacter sp. Cpo071
Lineage: Bacteria; Pseudomonadati; Pseudomonadota; Gammaproteobacteria; Enterobacterales; Enterobacteriaceae
Description: partial 23S ribosomal RNA
Rfam family: Bacterial large subunit ribosomal RNA
Source: RNAcentral
GGUUAAGCGACUAAGCGUACACGGUGGAUGCCCUGGCAGUCAGAGGCGAUGAAGGACGUGCUAAUCUGCGAUAAGCGUCGGUAAGGUGAUAUGAACCGUUAUAACCGGCGAUUUCCGAAUGGGGAAACCCAGUGUGAUCCGUCACACUAUCAUUACGUGAAUACAUAGCGUAAUGAAGCGAACCGGGGGAACUGAAACAUCUAAGUACCCCGAGGAAAAGAAAUCAACCGAGA